This 286-nucleotide ribosomal RNA is filed under the name uncultured Methylomirabilota bacterium. RNAcentral describes it as "uncultured candidate division NC10 bacterium partial 16S ribosomal RNA". It matches the Rfam family "Bacterial small subunit ribosomal RNA", at positions 1060 to 1345 of the family's 1533-position model. The record is from RNAcentral. Lineage: Bacteria; Methylomirabilota (SeqCode).
UCGUGUCGUGAGAUGUUGGGUUAAGUCCCGCAACGAGCGCAACCCUUACCUCUUGUUGCCAUCAGGUCAUGCUGGGCACUCUAGAGGAACUGCCCCGGUCAGCGGGGAGGAAGGUGGGGAUGACGUCAAGUCAUCAUGCCCCUUACGUCCUGGGCUACACACGUGCUACAAUGGCCGGUACAAAGGGAUGCCACACCGCGAGGUAGAGCUAAGCCCAAAAAGCCGGUCUAAGUUCAGAUUGGAGUCUGCAACUCGACUCCAUGAAGGAGGAAUCGCUAGUAAUCGC